CCCUUAGAUGUCCUGGGCUGCACGCGCGCUACACUGGAAGUUACGGAUUGAGAUACUACCUUGUCCGAAAUGGUCCGGGUAAUCACCUAAAAGCUUGUCAUAAUUGGAAUGGAUUAUUGUAACUAGUAAUCCUGAACGAGGAAUUCCAAGUAAGUCCCAGUCAACAGCUGGUACUGAUUACGUCCCUGCCCUUUGUACACACCGCCCGUCGCUACUACUGAUUGGACGUUUAAGCAAGAUUUUUAAACACUGACAGUGUGUAGUUCACGCUAUACUACAGUGAGAAGAAGAAGAUCGAGCUUACUUGUCUAGAGGAAGUAAAAGUCGUAACA
This 332-nucleotide ribosomal RNA is filed under the name uncultured eukaryote. Its description in RNAcentral is "partial 18S ribosomal RNA". It matches the Rfam family "Eukaryotic small subunit ribosomal RNA", at positions 1470 to 1796 of the family's 1831-position model. The record is from RNAcentral.